GAUGAACGCUGGCGGCGUGCCUAAUACAUGCAAGUCGAGCGAACAGACGAGGAGCUUGCUCCUCUGACGUUAGCGGCGGACGGGUGAGUAACACGUGGAUAACCUACCUAUAAGACGGGGAUAACUUCGGGAAACCGGAGCAAAUGCCGGAGAAGAUAUUGAACCGCAGGGGUGAAUAGUGAAAGACGGUGGUGCUGUCACUUAUAGAGGGAUCCGCGCCGCAUGAGCUCGUUGGUAAGGUAACGGCUUACCAAGGCAACGAUGCGUAGCCGACCUGAGAGGGUGAUCGGCCACACUGGAACUGAGACACGGUCCAGACUCCUACGGGAGGCAGCAGUCGGGAAUCUUCCGCAAUGGGCGAAAGCCUGACGGAGCAGCGCCGCGUGAGUGAUGAAGGUCUUCGGAUCGUAAAACUCUGUUAUUAGGGAAGAACAAAUGUGUAAGUAACUAUGCCCGUCUUGACGGUACCUGAUCAGAAAGCCACGGCUAACUACGUG
This 497-nucleotide ribosomal RNA is filed under the name uncultured bacterium. RNAcentral's name for it is "partial 16S ribosomal RNA". It matches the Rfam family "Bacterial small subunit ribosomal RNA", at positions 28 to 507 of the family's 1533-position model. The record is from RNAcentral.